GAUGCACUGCUUGGAAAUAGAUGACUAAAAUAACUAUGAGGAAAGAGUCUGAAAUAGAUGGGAUACCUGAGAUGCAGAUGUUACCGCUGCUUCACACCUGUUUGGCAUUAAGCCACCUUUGGCCUGCUCCAGCUAAUCAUAGAAUCUGGAUAACUUCUGACGUUGGUACGCGAGGUUUCUAGGUUUCUUUCUGCUAUUCUCAGCCUUGCUAGGUAAAUAUUUAACAUCAGGAGAAGCUUCUAGAAGGAUGGGGCGCUCUCCAAGAGAAGACGUGUAGCGAAGCAAAGAUGAAAGAGCCGAAAUCUAAAGCAAGGACAGAUAAAGCAGAUAAAGCUGAUGGUUAAUCGUACUGAUGAACUGGCAGCAGACAUGAGUCAGGUACGGAUGCCAAGAAGCUUCUCCAAGGUCGACCACGAUGACGUCAAUACCAACAUGGGGUAGGCUAAGAUAACACAACUGAUGAUACGAGGAGAAAGAUGCUUCCAGAACUCCCAGGAAAUAAGCACAUUUCUAAGGCUUUUUGCAACAGAGUCCAAGUUGGCGUAGAAAGGUCAAGAUGGCCUCAGAAUACUGGUCAAUGCAGCACCAUCAAAGAUCAGAUAUAGCAGCUUUGACACAUUUGGUCGAGCUUGAGAGAACCUAAGAGGAUCAUUCAGCAGGACUGGAAUACAUGACAGUGGUGCUGUGUUCUUCGAAGGAAGGCUGUUUCUUCACAUGUCCAACUGAUACAGAUUCCAUGAUGUUUGGGGAGCACAUGGCGCCAGCUGAUGAAGAGGCAUCAUGAGGACACCGUCUGGCCCCACUGUGACUUGAUUGGCCAUACCUCAAACACAGGACUAUCUGAUAAUCAGUCAGAUGAAGGAGAAACUCAAUUUCAAAUUCAGUUACAUGUUUCGCUAUAGAUUUAUCAGCCAAUCUAUCAUGUGCGACAAGCAAAAACAGUUAGUACGGGGGCGGUGGAGAUUUUUUUAGCAUUGCGAGUACAAAAAGGACUUGUAGAUGGAAACGAUGUGGUUUGUUAUUUUACACACUGUGGGGACACUAUUUAGCCAGUUGAAGGACACCUAUACUAAAGGCCUAUAAAGGCCUAUGUAAAACAGACACACCAGAACCGACUAAAUAGGGCCAACACAGUAUAACUUUUUGACAUUUCAAAGACCAAUAUUGAUGAUUAGGUCACUCACUCAAUAUUUUAUGAAUGGAACACUCCAGCCAAUCAGAUCAAGCUCAAAGGCUGAACUCUAUUCCAUCUAAACUUGGUCCAAGAUCUUAGGCCAUGGCAUGCACUUUAUUUACACAGGUUUUCUCAAGUAGAACCGGAUAUCAAAUUAUCGUAAUCUAAUUGGCUUUCAGCCAUUGGCUAAAGGCUUUAAACAUUAACUUAGGCCAUUCAUACUGGAAUCAUGAAUGAACCGAUGGGUUAUAGUAAAUGAGGUGUAAGUAGUUCCUGGAACUCACUACUGACCUGUGGAUAAACUCAGAGAUUACUUAAUCUUAAAUCAUAGUAUUAACAUUGAUAGGUCUGGUCAUAGGCUUUGGUCAGCGAAUGUUUAUAUGUCUCAAUAAUACUUUAAUAGAUCCUGUAUCAUGUAAUGGUAAAACCAUUAAUAUGCACAUUUUACAGUUGAUGCAGGUUGUCAGUUCAUGUUUAACCCCUUGCUAAGCUGUCAAUACGAAAGUUGUCACCACCAUAGACAGACAUAACACUCAAGAUGACCCAAACCGCAUUCCAGCUGUGAAAGAGGCUUGCUCGGGACUGGUUUUCCGUCAGAAGUUGUCAAACUGGCAAAAUAUGAACAAAUUGAUUUUGUUGGGUUUUCAUCUUGAAAUGAUAAGUUUAAAAUCUGGUCGCAGAUUCCAUCGCAAUCACAGGAUGGUCGAGCAAUGAUAGGGUUCAUUCAACACAUCCUGGUUGGACCAGUUAUUUGGCAGUGGUCCCUCCGCUCGCCAACACCAAGCAGCGAUGGAAGAUAGCAUUUUGUGGUCAGCAACCAUAAUCCUGUGGUGAACACAGCAGGUACAUUCCAGGAAACCCAAACCAAAGCCACGGUGAACUUCGUAGAAAUCUGCUGAAUUACCCCUGGGGCAACCCCAUACAAAACCUGUCACAAAUAACAACACUGCAGGAAGUUAAGAACCCUAACUACCUGUGUUCUACUUCAGUUUUAUUGUACUUAAAUCUGCUGUGCAAUGCUUAUACAAUCAACACAUGAGUUGUCAGUCAGGUGAGGAUGGGACCGGUGUUCAUACCUAUUUCUAGGACACUAAUUAUUGUUCAGCAAAUUAAUUUGUUCCAAAGUGAUUUGUGAGUUUUCUUUACCCAUUAGUCCUCUUUAGUUCGUCAAAGGGAAUAAGUGACAUUUGACAGAGGGACAAAACAUUAUGAGUUAAUGGCCCAUAUGGCCAAGCUUUAGGAUACACAGCUAGUUUCUGAACGACCAUAACAAAUAUUUGUCCACACAUUCUUUGACCUUCUUUUAUUUGAGGAACAUUAAUGAGACUUGUAGACAAAGACCCUUUCUUGAAAUAUGUCUUGGUGUGGUAAAGCAUAUUUCACAUGAAGUGAGACCAACUCGUCUACACCAUGAAUGAUGCACAUUUCUUGGCACCCAAAGUACAUGUAUAAAGCCAGUUCAACCCAGAUGAAAUGAACAGGGAAAGAUAUGCCAUUAGGAGCUAUGGAAAUGACAAUGGACAAGAAUGUCAUGGAGAAUAAAAGUCUAAGAGUAGCAAAAAAUCAGUCGAUCUUCAAACACAUAAACCAAUGAUAAACUGCAUAUCAGCAAUGUUGUCACAAGGUCGCAGUGCAGGUGGUGCAAAGUCAAUAAAGAGUUCAACCCCAUGCCUCAUACCCCUUGCCAAGAACAGCUGGCAAAAUCUUGCCCUUUUUUUCUCAGAAAGUGUUAUCACUAUUGAGUACACAACAUGAGUGGCUAUCCAACCUAUAAACAUGAAUGAACACAGUUAUUUCACCAUGACAACCUGGAUACAUCACUUUUUUGCAAGUUUUCUCUGGAAAGAGUAAACAAAACACCCGAAGAAAAAGAUUAACAGUUUUUAGGUAGUCACAACCAAUUGCUUUAUCCUAUACAUUGUAGUUCUCAAAAGAAGAUGUAUGAGACCUUUAAAUAACACCCCUAGUUAACCUUUGAUUAGUCUUCUCAAGUGUACGUGGUUAUUUGGACAGCAUCACACUUGAAGAAGGGGGUGGUUUGACACUGCCAUAGAAUGGUGACACCUUAGAGACAAGAAUAAGAAAGGUUUUUAAAUUAUCACACUGGGGUGGCGGAGUUCUAGAGUUGAAUGAAAAGUUACCCGUUCAUCUUUUAGGUGUUCAUACCACAAGGUCAAACAACCUAACUGUCAGCUUUGAACGAGCACGCAUUGAACAGAUAAAAGUGUAUACCUGAGGUACAAGUUAUGUCUGCACCAAGCUGUCAGUUUUUGACAAACCUAAUGCAUUUUACGAUCACCGAAAUCAAACGAAUCGAACUAUUUGAUAGCGCCAGUUGAUUAUAUAAAUUUCUUUCUUGAUCUGACACUUUCACAAUCAUAUUGAUGUAUUGGGUCUUUGAUUGAGAACAUUGACAGAAGUUCAAAUGAUAUCUUCUCAGUUCCAUUUAUCAGCUCCGCUAUAUGGAGCAGAGCCUUUGAAACCAUAUUUAGGCACUCAAACGAAGAAGACAGGCAGACCGGAAGCGCUUAUAUGGCUUUUUCAAUCAAAGGUGAAAUGCUUUCUGUCAUAGUGAAUGAUUUAUGAUGCCCCAUAUCUCGCCUAUAGUCAAUAGCCCUAUAUUGACUAAACUGAAAGGCUGGCAAUUCCUUGUAUGCCCAUAUCCUGAUUGGAAAACUAUGCAUGUGUUUGGCAUGAAGAAUUAACGUGCUGUGGUUCAAGCCUGAUACUAUGUCCAGUAGACGUGGAAGAAGGCCAAGCCGAGUAAUGUCCAAGUUAUACACCACCUCAGUAAAUGUUUAUAAAGUCGAGAUAAACACACACACUUUUUAUUUACUGAGGGAUUGCGGUGAUUGGAAAGGUUCAUCUUAUCAGGAAACCAAAACCAGACGAGAAGACUGG
Lineus longissimus is the source of this 4075-nucleotide long non-coding RNA. RefSeq lists it as uncharacterized. The transcript has 4 exons. NCBI's taxonomy places the organism in Eukaryota, Metazoa, Nemertea, Pilidiophora, Heteronemertea, Lineidae. The record is from RefSeq and is a predicted model, not a curated record.